RNAcentral lists this ribosomal RNA (697 nucleotides) under Klebsiella oxytoca. Its description in RNAcentral is "bacterial SSU rRNA". It matches the Rfam family "Bacterial small subunit ribosomal RNA", at positions 60 to 748 of the family's 1533-position model. The record is from RNAcentral. Lineage: Bacteria; Pseudomonadati; Pseudomonadota; Gammaproteobacteria; Enterobacterales; Enterobacteriaceae.
AGUCGAACGGUAGCACAGAGAGCUUGCUCUCGGGUGACGAGUGGCGGACGGGUGAGUAAUGUCUGGGAAACUGCCCGAUGGAGGGGGAUAACUACUGGAAACGGUAGCUAAUACCGCAUAACGUCGCAAGACCAAAGAGGGGGACCUUCGGGCCUCUUGCCAUCGGAUGUGCCCAGAUGGGAUUAGCUUGUAGGUGAGGUAACGGCUCACCUAGGCGACGAUCCCUAGCUGGUCUGAGAGGAUGACCAGCCACACUGGAACUGAGACACGGUCCAGACUCCUACGGGAGGCAGCAGUGGGGAAUAUUGCACAAUGGGCGCAAGCCUGAUGCAGCCAUGCCGCGUGUAUGAAGAAGGCCUUCGGGUUGUAAAGUACUUUCAGCGGGGAGGAAGGGAGUGAGGUUAAUAACCUUAUUCAUUGACGUUACCCGCAGAAGAAGCACCGGCUAACUCCGUGCCAGCAGCCGCGGUAAUACGGAGGGUGCAAGCGUUAAUCGGAAUUACUGGGCGUAAAGCGCACGCAGGCGGUCUGUCAAGUCGGAUGUGAAAUCCCCGGGCUCAACCUGGGAACUGCAUUCGAAACUGGCAGGCUGGAGUCUUGUAGAGGGGGGUAGAAUUCCAGGUGUAGCGGUGAAAUGCGUAGAGAUCUGGAGGAAUACCGGUGGCGAAGGCGGCCCCCUGGACAAAGACUGACGCUC